RNAcentral lists this ribosomal RNA (253 nucleotides) under uncultured bacterium. Its description in RNAcentral is "partial 16S ribosomal RNA". It matches the Rfam family "Bacterial small subunit ribosomal RNA", at positions 524 to 776 of the family's 1533-position model. The record is from RNAcentral.
GACGAACCGUGCGAACGUUGUUCGGAAUCACUGGGCUUAAAGGGCGCGUAGGCGGGCGACCAAGUCAGGGGUGAAAUCCUCCGGCUCAACCGGAGAACAGCCUUUGAUACUGGUCACCUCGAGGGAGGUAGGGGCAUGUGGAACUUCCGGUGGAGCGGUGAAAUGCGUAGAUAUCGGAAGGAACGCCGGUGGCGAAAGCGACGUGCUGGACCUCUUCUGACGCUGAGGCGCGAAAGCCAGGGGAGCGAACGGG